CCAAAACUCCUCUUUUUUGUCUUUGUACCUGUUAGGGGUGUAAUGAUGAAAUUUGGAGGUGCAUCCCGAAAUGUGUGCUCAGAUCCAAUUUUUUUUAUAAACAGAGUGGGCUUAAGCCCGAACGAGACGGGGGUGUGAAUGGAAUUGUGUAUGUGGCAGGAAGAAAGAAGUAGCCCACGCCGGGCCCAAGGUCCAUUUCUUUUUUUUCAGAACAGGAUUCUCACCUUCUCAUUCAAGCACAAGACCUAGAGUCUCUCUUCCAAGGCAGCCAACGGAAGUCCCUCCACCCAGUCACGUAUACACGCCACUGUUUCAUCUAAAAACGGCCGCCGCCAGCUGCAGCCAGACGCCGCCCAACCGGCCACCGCGCCAAAACGGUCACCGUGUGUCGCCGUCCCAGCUCUUCCACUAACCCUUGCUGAAUGUUUCGCUGAUAAUUUUUUCUACAAAACUCCAAACGUAAUGAAACUUUUUUUCAUAGAUUCUAGACUCAAAGGGCUUUCAUUUGAAUUCUCAGACAUAAAUUUUGGACCUCUGUGCUAGAUGCAGUAUAAUUUCGAAAUCAGCUCAAUUUUGAAGAGAUGAGUGAAAAAAAAAAUGGAUGAUGACGAAAGUAUUUCUCUGUGCUAGCGGAAUGGAUGUCAUGAAGACAAAGAGGAAUCAAUUUGUGUAUGAGAGAUGACUGUUGAAUUUUCUUCCUUCUUUGGUUUUGAGGUUUUUGAUAGUUGGAAGAUGAGUUUGAAGAAGAAAGGGAUGAAGAUGAUGGGUGUUGGAGGUGUUGGAGAUGAAAAAUGAAGAAGAAAGAUGAAGAUGAUAGGUGCUGCUGUUGGAGUUGAUCACGGGUGAUCCAGAUGGUGAAGAGUAAGUUGAAGAUUUUUUGUUUCAGAGAUGAAUGACGGAUCUCUCCCGUCCGGCUCCUCUGUAAGGUCUUUUCUCCCAGAAGAUGGAUGAUUCUCCCUCUAGUCUAGUAAGGUGUCCUCUCCUUUUUUUUGCUGAGUGUUUUUUGUGUAACCCCUUUUUAUUUUCUCUUCUCCAUUGCUUUUUGCGAAUUGCCAAUCCCUCUACUGUGCCUCCUGCCAAACCAAAUCGCGCCUCUGCUCUCCCCAAAACUUGCCUUGUCCUUGCCUGCCAAUCUGUCUCCUCGCGCAGAA
This 1151-nucleotide small RNA is filed under the name Vigna angularis var. angularis. Its description in RNAcentral is "Non-protein coding transcript". Lineage: Eukaryota; Viridiplantae; Streptophyta; Magnoliopsida; Fabales; Fabaceae. The record is from RNAcentral.